GGACCCGUAGCUCAGCAGCAGGAGCGCCCGAUUGCCGAUCGGGAGGCCGCCGGUUCGAGUUCGGCCGGGGGCA
RNAcentral lists this transfer RNA (73 nucleotides) under Streptomyces kasugaensis. Its description in RNAcentral is "tRNA-Gly". It matches the Rfam family "tRNA". Rfam says of the family: Transfer RNA (tRNA) molecules are approximately 80 nucleotides in length. Their secondary structure includes four short double-helical elements and three loops (D, anti-codon, and T loops). Lineage: Bacteria; Bacillati; Actinomycetota; Actinomycetes; Kitasatosporales; Streptomycetaceae. The record is from RNAcentral. RNAcentral also lists the same sequence under 2 other names.